UCCCCAGUCUCACAGCUCUGCUCAGAGGGUCGGGUGAGGGGGUGGCACAGACAACGUGUCCAGGACUCUCUGCCCGACAGGACCGGGGCCAAGGGGACCCAAAGUCCACAGUUGUCAGACUGGAGCCUGGGCAUCAAUCGCUAGUAGGACAUCUGCUAUGAAAGGGGAACUAAAGAAUGGACGGAAGGGUCGGAUGGGUUGGCUGGCCAGAGAAGAGAGAAAAACAGAAGAAGCUGCCAUCCCAGCUAGCAUCAAUCAUCAAACGUGAAGGCCGGACCCCAGAGAGACGUGGCAUUGUGGCCCACCCCUCCUCCCUGUGUCAUCAAUGGCCAUCCGGCAUACAUGGUGAUACGCCUCCUGGGUGUUCGACCACGGGGCAGGGGUUUCCAGUACCUGGUUGACUGGGAGGGUUACUGCCCAGAGGAGUGGUGCUGGGUUCCUGAUAGGGAAAUAUUGGAUCCAGCACUCAUCGCCGACUUCCACUGCCGACAGUGGAGUUUGGAGUGUGACUGUUUGAGGUUGUGGACAGGUGUCUUUUAUACUGAUAACAAGUUCAAACAGGUG
Molecule: long non-coding RNA, 564 nt
Organism: Oncorhynchus kisutch (coho salmon)
Lineage: Eukaryota; Metazoa; Chordata; Actinopteri; Salmoniformes; Salmonidae
Exons: 4
Source: RefSeq, a predicted model, not a curated record